This 184-nucleotide ribosomal RNA is filed under the name uncultured Staphylococcus sp. RNAcentral's name for it is "partial 16S ribosomal RNA". It matches the Rfam family "Bacterial small subunit ribosomal RNA", at positions 156 to 334 of the family's 1533-position model. Lineage: Bacteria; Bacillati; Bacillota; Bacilli; Caryophanales; Staphylococcaceae. The record is from RNAcentral.
ACCGGAGUUAAUACCGGAUAAUAUAUUGAACCGCAUGGUUCAAUAGUGAAAGACGGUUUUGCUGUCACUUAUAGAUGGAUCCGCGCCGCAUUAGCUAGUUGGUAAGGUAACGGCUUACCAAGGCAACGAUGCGUAGCCGACCUGAGAGGGUGAUCGGCCACACUGGAACUGAGACACGGUCCAG